AGAGUUUGAUCCUGGCUCAGAUUGAACGCUGGCGGCAGGCCUAACACAUGCAAGUCGAACGGUAACAGGAAACAGCUUGCUGUUUCGCUGACGAGUGGCGGACGGGUGAGUAAUGUCUGGGAAACUGCCUGAUGGAGGGGGAUAACUACUGGAAACGGUAGCUAAUACCGCAUAACGUCGCAAGACCAAAGAGGGGGACCUUCGGGCCUCUUGCCAUCGGAUGUGCCCAGAUGGGAUUAGCUUGUUGGUGGGGUAACGGCUCACCAAGGCGACGAUCCCUAGCUGGUCUGAGAGGAUGACCAGCCACACUGGAACUGAGACACGGUCCAGACUCCUACGGGAGGCAGCAGUGGGGAAUAUUGCACAAUGGGCGCAAGCCUGAUGCAGCCAUGCCGCGUGUAUGAAGAAGGCCUUCGGGUUGCAAAGUACUUUCAGCGGGGAGGAAGGGAGUAAAGUUAAUACCUUUGCUCAUUGACGUUACCCGCAGAAGAAGCACCGGCUAACUCCGUGCCAGCAGCCGCGGUAAUACGGAGGGUGCAAGCGUUAAUCGGAAUUACUGGGCGUAAAGCGCACGCAGGCGGUUUGUUAAGUCAGAUGUGAAAUCCCCGGGCUCAACCUGGGAACUGCAUCUGAUACUGGCAAGCUUGAGUCUCGUAGAGGGGGGUAGAAUUCCAGGUGUAGCGGUGAAAUGCGUAGAGAUCUGGAGGAAUACCGGUGGCGAAGGCGGCCCCCUGGACGAAGACUGACGCUCAGGUGCGAAAGCGUGGGGAGCAAACAGGAUUAGAUACCCUGGUAGUCCACGCCGUAAACGAUGUCGACUUGGAGGUUGUGCCCUUGAGGCGUGGCUUCCGGAGCUAACGCGUUAAGUCGACCGCCUGGGGAGUACGGCCGCAAGGUUAAAACUCAAAUGAAUUGACGGGGGCCCGCACAAGCGGUGGAGCAUGUGGUUUAAUUCGAUGCAACGCGAAGAACCUUACCUGGUCUUGACAUCCACGGAAGUUUUCAGAGAUGAGAAUGUGCCUUCGGGAACCGUGAGACAGGUGCUGCAUGGCUGUCGUCAGCUCGUGUUGUGAAAUGUUGGGUUAAGUCCCGCAACGAGCGCAACCCUUAUCCUUUGUUGCCAGCGGUCCGGCCGGGAACUCAAAGGAGACUGCCAGUGAUAAACUGGAGGAAGGUGGGGAUGACGUCAAGUCAUCAUGGCCCUUACGACCAGGGCUACACACGUGCUACAAUGGCGCAUACAAAGAGAAGCGACCUCGCGAGAGCAAGCGGACCUCAUAAAGUGCGUCGUAGUCCGGAUUGGAGUCUGCAACUCGACUCCAUGAAGUCGGAAUCGCUAGUAAUCGUGGAUCAGAAUGCCACGGUGAAUACGUUCCCGGGCCUUGCACUCACAGCCCGUCA
Molecule: ribosomal RNA, 1401 nt
Filed under: uncultured bacterium
Lineage: Bacteria
Description: bacterial SSU rRNA
Rfam family: Bacterial small subunit ribosomal RNA
Source: RNAcentral